UAAUUUAAAGUCUAGCCUGCCCAAUGAUAAUUUUAAUGGCCGCAGUAUUUUGACUGUGCAAAGGUAGCAUAAUCAUUAGUUUCUUAAUUAGAAACUGGAAUGAAAGGUUGAACGAAAAAAUAACUGUCUCUUUAUAAUUUUUUUAGAAUUUUAUUUUUAAGUUAAAAAGCUUAAAUAGAUUUGAAAGACGAGAAGACCCUAUAGAGUUUAAUAUUUUCUAAAUUAAAUUUUUAAAUAGAAUAAUUUUUAUUUAAUUGAAGAAAAUAUUUAAUUGGGGUGAUUGAAAAAUUUAAUUAACUUUUUUUAUAUUAAAACAUAAAUAUAUGAUUAAUUGAUCCAUUUUUAAUGAUUAAAAGAUUAAAUUACCUUAGGGAUAACAGCGUAAUUUUUUUUAAGAGUUCUUAUCGAUAAAAAAGUUUGCGACCUCGAUGUUGGAUUAAAAUUAAAAUUUGGUGUAGAAGCUAAAUUAUUAGGUCUGUUCGACCUUUAAAAUUUU
This 496-nucleotide ribosomal RNA is filed under the name Aleochara nubis. Its description in RNAcentral is "partial 16S ribosomal RNA". It matches the Rfam family "Bacterial large subunit ribosomal RNA", at positions 1843 to 2597 of the family's 2925-position model. The record is from RNAcentral. Lineage: Eukaryota; Metazoa; Arthropoda; Insecta; Coleoptera; Staphylinidae.